RNAcentral lists this ribosomal RNA (253 nucleotides) under uncultured bacterium. RNAcentral's name for it is "partial 16S ribosomal RNA". It matches the Rfam family "Bacterial small subunit ribosomal RNA", at positions 524 to 776 of the family's 1533-position model. The record is from RNAcentral.
UACGAAGGGGGCUAGCGUUGCUCGGAAUUACUGGGCGUAAAGGGCGCGUAGGCGGACAGUUUAGUCAGAGGUGAAAGCCCAGGGCUCAACCUUGGAAUUGCCUUUGAUACUGGCUGUCUUGAGUUCGGGAGAGGUGAGUGGAAUGCCGAGUGUAGAGGUGAAAUUCGUAGAUAUUCGGAAGAACACCAGUGGCGAAGGCGGCACACUGGCCCAUUACUGACGCUGAAGCUCGAAAGCUAGGGGAGCAAACAGG